RNAcentral lists this ribosomal RNA (208 nucleotides) under uncultured eukaryote. RNAcentral describes it as "partial small subunit ribosomal RNA". The record is from RNAcentral.
GGUGUUCAACUCAAUUGUGCAGCCGCACCCGCAGUAUGGGCAGAUAGUCCGCUGCUUUUCGAGCUCCCAUUCCCUUCCUCUGCCGACACGGCUCUUUUCUGUAAGAGCUCCGACGGGACACACGCUGAUACACCGACCGCAUGAUACACAGGUAGUCUCCUGCAGGGGUUUUUCAAAGGAAGUGGAGAUCCUGGUACCGAAGCCCCGG